GAAAUGCGAUAAGUAAUGUGAAUUGCAGAAUUCAGUGAAUCAUCGAAUCUUUGAACGCACCUUGCGCUCCUUGGUAUUCCUUGGAGCAUGCCUGUUUGAGUAUCAUGAAAUCUUCAAAGUAAAUCUUUUGUUAACUCAAUUGGUUUCUACUUUGGUAUUUGAGCUCUUUGCAGCUUCACACCUGCUCCUCUUUGUUCAUUAGCUGGAUCUCAGUGUUAUGCUUGGUUCCACUCGGCGUGAUAAGUUAUCUAUCGCUGAGGACACUGUAAAAGGUGGCCAAGGUAAAUGCAGAUGAACCGCUUCUAAUAGUCCAUUGACUUGGACAAUACUUUUAUGAUCUGAUCUCAAAUCAGGUAGGACUACCCGCUGAACUUAAGC
This 378-nucleotide unclassified non-coding RNA is filed under the name plant metagenome. Its description in RNAcentral is "partial contains 5.8S ribosomal RNA, internal transcribed spacer 2, and large subunit ribosomal RNA". The stretch from base 1 to 105 matches the Rfam family "5.8S ribosomal RNA", at positions 50 to 154 of the family's 154-position model. The record is from RNAcentral.